Molecule: long non-coding RNA, 635 nt
Organism: Cyprinodon tularosa
Lineage: Eukaryota; Metazoa; Chordata; Actinopteri; Cyprinodontiformes; Cyprinodontidae
Exons: 5
Source: RefSeq, a predicted model, not a curated record
UGAGGGCAAGUUCUACCAGCAUGCAGCCGCGGAGGCCGGAAGAAAUACAGUCGUUCCAGAAAGACGUGUAGCCCUGGGCGGAGAAGAAGAAAAACACACACACGUUCGCUUAGCUGACGUGUUGAGUCAGUCAUGGAGCAACACUUCCAGGUUCCACGGGACCCCACACACUGAGAACUGCUCAGGUUGAAAUGUCAGCUCAGUGGGUGGUGAUAAUAGUUCUUGGACAGCUGACGGUCCAUUUGUUGUGCUGAGUUGAAUAAACGCAGGGGAGAGGCCAAAGACAGAGAAGCAGUUAUUGCAGUGGAACUGAACCUUCCUUGUUGUUGACAGAAGCAGGGGAUCCUGACCUUAUGUGUGAAGGCAGUCCCCUGUCCUCAUUGAGCCUGCCUGCACACCUGCGGCUCAUUGGGUCAUUACCAGAGGAGUACUUGAGCAGCGGGCUGUCACCACCUCAACGCCAGAGUGCUUCCCAGUAUUGGAAAGACUUCCUGUGUUACUGGAAAAGCCUGGACCUUCUACCCCUGGAAGGAUUUACUGAGUCUCACUGACCAAGGGGAAAACCUCCACAUGAUCCGUUCAAUUCCACUCCUAGAAAACCAAGUGACCGUCCGCUCCUUUACUCCUCUGGGUCC